This 497-nucleotide ribosomal RNA is filed under the name uncultured bacterium. RNAcentral describes it as "partial 16S ribosomal RNA". It matches the Rfam family "Bacterial small subunit ribosomal RNA", at positions 28 to 507 of the family's 1533-position model. The record is from RNAcentral.
GACGAACGCUGGCGGCGUGCCUAAUACAUGCAAGUUGAGCGAUGAAGAUUGGUGCUUGCCCCAAUUUGAAGAGCAGCGAACGGGUGAGUAACGCGUGGGGAAUCUGCCUUUGAGCGGGGGACAACAUUUGGAAACGAAUGCUAAUACCGCAUAACAACUUUAAACAUAAGUUUUAAGUUUGAAAGAUGCAAUUGCAUCACUCAAAGAUGAUCCCGCGUUGUAUUAGCUAGUUGGUGAGGUAAAGGCUCACCAAGGCGAUGAUACAUAGCCGACCUGGGAGGGUGAUCGGCCACAUUGGGACUGAGACACGGCCCAAACUCCUACGGGAGGCAGCAGUAGGGAAACUUCGGCAAUGGACGAAAGUCUGACCGAGCAACGCCGCGUGAGUGAAGAAGGGUUUCGGAUCGUAAAACUCUGUUGGUAGAGAAGAACGUUGGUGAGAGUGGAAAGCUCAUCAAGUGACGGUAACUACACAGAAAGGGACGGCUAACUACGUG